RNAcentral lists this ribosomal RNA (454 nucleotides) under uncultured bacterium. RNAcentral's name for it is "bacterial SSU rRNA". It matches the Rfam family "Bacterial small subunit ribosomal RNA", at positions 340 to 786 of the family's 1533-position model. The record is from RNAcentral.
UACGGAAGGCAGCAGUGGGGAAUAUUGCACAAUGGGCGCAAGCCUGAUGCAGCCAUGCCGCGUGUAUGAAGAAGGCCUUCGGGUUGUAAAGUACUUUCAGUCGUGAGGAAGGUGUUAAGGUUAAUAACCUUAGCAAUUGACGUUAGCGACAGAAGAAGCACCGGCUAACUCCGUGCCAGCAGCCGCGGUAAUACGGAGGGUGCGAGCGUUAAUCGGAAUUACUGGGCGUAAAGGGCACGCAGGCGGUUAAUUAAGUUGGAUGUGAAAUCCCCGGGCUUAACCUGGGAAUGGCAUUCAAGACUGGUUAGCUAGAGUCUUGUAGAGGGGGUAGAAUUCCAUGUGUAGCGGUGAAAUGCGUAGAGAUGUGGAGGAAUACCGGGUGGCGAAGGCGGCCCCUGGGCAAAGGCUGACGCUCAUGUGCGAAAGCGUGGGGAGCAAACAGGGAUUAGAUACC